ACUAUACUAUGUCGAUGGGAGAUGCUCUUCUGUCAACUACCCUUGUGCUUCUUGUUCAGGUGGAGUACAGGAGUCGAAGAGAGAGCGAUCUGUGAUUGAUUUAGUGGGUCUUCACUAGACCUUCUAAAUCGACUGCUGAUGCAUGGAUCACCACGUGUCGAUUCCCUGGGGUUCACUUGUAUAUCUAGAAAGCAGAUUAACGGCUUGUGUGUCUCAUCCGACGAAGUGGCAUCUCCAGGACUGUAUGGAUGUGGGAGGCAGAAGUCUCUCUCGGAGAAAGGGGGAGUCAAGACAGUUAAAUUCAGUCAUCUAGUGGCCAGAGUUGGAAGGAGGAACUGUGUAUCCUGGAUUCUAUUUCUGCUGGGAUAUACAGUACUGAGAUCUGGAAAUGAAGGAUGCUACCCCUGGAAAAUAUUGCUGUGAAGAGAAGAACAUUGCAAUGAUGAGUGGAAUUUCCAUUGUUGUACUGGUGGCUGGUAUUUCAUGAGUAAGUUCUGAGAUACUCACCUCUUAACAGGAAUAAAUAAGAAAUGAUAAGCAAAUCAUGAGUGGGCAAAGAUAAAAUAAGACUUUAUUACACCUUGAAAACAAGGAAAAAUAACCUGAUGCAUAGCGAUUUUAAAUGUGCAGCACUGAACUGAAUUAGACGGAUGUGAAAUGUAUUGGCCAGAUACGUUUUACACCAAAGCUCUGCUUAGCACAAGAAAGAGGUGAUGAGGAAUUGGGGAAUCCUUAUCAGGCCCCUGACUCUGUGCCAACACUAGCCCCAAGGCAACUUAGAGCUGCUUCCCACCAGCCAGACACCUGCAAAAGUAUUUUCCAUAGUAACUCAGA
Non-coding RNA from Chelonoidis abingdonii (Abingdon island giant tortoise), 834 nucleotides. Lineage: Eukaryota; Metazoa; Chordata; Testudines; Testudinidae. The record is from RefSeq and is a predicted model, not a curated record.